Molecule: regulatory RNA element, 46 nt
Organism: Neotoma lepida (desert woodrat)
Lineage: Eukaryota; Metazoa; Chordata; Mammalia; Rodentia; Cricetidae
Rfam family: Histone 3' UTR stem-loop
About the family: The mRNAs of metazoan histone genes lack a poly-A tail. 3' end processing occurs at a site between a highly conserved stem-loop (modelled by this family) and a purine rich region around 20 nts downstream (the histone downstream element, or HDE). The stem-loop is bound by a 31 kDa stem-loop binding protein (SLBP - also termed the histone hairpin binding protein, or HBP).
Source: Rfam
UNAAAGGCCCUUUUCAGGGCCACCCACUUGUUCCUUAAAAGGCUGU